RNA transcript from Glycine soja, 1875 nucleotides. It is a transcript of the gene named pyridoxal kinase-like, with no coding region annotated. The transcript is spliced from 15 exons. Lineage: Eukaryota; Viridiplantae; Streptophyta; Magnoliopsida; Fabales; Fabaceae. The record is from RefSeq and is a predicted model, not a curated record.
AUGUCUCAGUUACAUGACAAAAAAAUUCGAAUCUCUUAUUCCUUCCCGUGUGGUGGCAGUUUGGUAAUAAUACAAAUUAUUAACAUAUGAAAAGUGUCAUCGUCAUCGGAAUGAAUGUAGACGCAGGAGUUGGCUGGCUCAACGUUGAACACUGUUCCAUGCUGUUAAAGCCUCCGCUCUCACUCAACUUCAGAUUUUCCCCACAAACGAGCAUUUUCCGGGCACGAAACUCGAGGAAUUCGCGCAUGGCGCCUCCAAUCCUCUCGCUCGCUCUUCCCUCGAACACCGGUCGAGUUCUCAGCAUUCAAUCUCACACCGUUCAGGGGUAUGUUGGUAAUAAAUCCGCUGUCUUCCCUCUGCAACUACUGGGAUAUGAUGUCGAUCCAAUUAAUUCCGUGCAGUUUUCGAAUCAUACAGGAUAUCCGACGUUUAAGGGUCAGGUUUUGAAUGGACAGCAACUCUGGGAUCUAAUCGAAGGCCUUGAAGGAAAUGAUUUAUUGUUCUAUACUCACUUGCUAACAGGUUAUAUUGGUUCAGAGUCUUUUCUAAACACUGUAUUGCAAGUUGUCAGCAAACUUCGGUCAACAAACCCAGGUCUUUCGUAUGUAUGUGAUCCAGUGAUGGGUGAUGAAGGAAAGCUUUAUGUUCCUCAAGAGCUAGUAUCAGUCUAUCGUGAGAAGGUUGUUCCAGUAGCUUCAAUGUUGACUCCCAACCAGUUUGAAGCAGAACUACUGACAGGCUUUAGGAUUCAGUCUGAAGGACAUGGCCAGGAGGCCUGUAGGCUUCUCCAUGCAGCUGGGCCUUCAAAGGUCAUAAUUACAAGUAUAAAUAUAGACGGGAUUCUUCUCCUCAUUGGCAGUCAUCAAAAAGAAAAGGGAGAGCCUCCCAGACAAUUUAAGAUUGUUAUUCCAAAAAUACCAGCUUAUUUUACGGGAACGGGAGAUCUCAUGACUGCACUUCUUCUUGGUUGGAGCAAUAAAUACCCAGACAACCUUGAGAUUGCUGCGGAACUUGCAGUGUCAAGCUUGCAGGCAGUUUUGCACAGGACACUCAGUGACUACAAAAGUGCUGGACAUGAUCCUGAGUCAACCAGUUUAGAGAUUAGAUUAAUUCAAAGUCAGGAUGAUAUUUGCACCCCACAGGAGAUGGUUGAUGACCAUAUUUGCUAGUUGAUGACUCUCCAGGGAAGUUACGUGCCCAUUCUUGGUUCUCUAAGCCAGCAUAAAUAGUUUCACUAUUCUCUAAGCCAGCAUUAAAACCCCAUUGGGGUCCCCAGUGAUUUUCGCCAAAGGUGGGAAUCAUAUACUGAUUUUCAUAGUCACUGUGAUCAUUUAUUAAUUGAGCUUGGUUAUUGUUCUGAUCACCGUUGUAUCCUGCAUCCCAUAUCUCUGCAUGCUUGCCAAAUUUGGCCAACUUCUGGACCAAAGUGGAUGGGUUGACAAUGCCUGUGACAAUUGCCGUUUGCUCUUCUGCAUUAAUGUCUACUUUACAGACACCUGGAGAUAAACAAUGGAAAUUGGUUAACUUACAUCUUCAACCUGCACAUGUGCAAUUAGAAACUAAACAGGGAAAUAGAAUUCAAAAGGUCGUAUUGUGAAUAUUUACAACAUAUAAUAUAUGACAUGAGAAGUUUAUACAUAAUUGAUUCAAUAGUUCUUAGAGGUGAGUAUAGAACUUUGACCUAGAGAAGAAGAAAAUUCGACCUUACCUUCAAUUUUUUGGAGUACUUUCCUUACUUUGUUCAUGCAUCCUUGACAGUUCAUGUGUGCUUUAAGAACAAACGUCUGUGCAAGCGAAAUACGAACAUAUAUCUCAGAUUAAAUGUAAAAUAAUUGGUGGGAAAUGAAACAAAAUGUUUACAAGGCCGAGUGACAA